Molecule: ribosomal RNA, 468 nt
Filed under: uncultured bacterium
Lineage: Bacteria
Description: partial 16S ribosomal RNA
Rfam family: Bacterial small subunit ribosomal RNA
Source: RNAcentral
GACGAACGCUGGCGGCGUGCUUAACACAUGCAAGUCGAACGGAAAGGCCCUGCUUUUGUGGGGUGCUCGAGUGGCGAACGGGUGAGUAACACGUGAGUAACCUGCCCUUGGCUUUGGGAUAACUUCAGGAAACUGGGGCUAAUACCGGAUAGGAGCUCCUGCUGCAUGGUGGGGAUUGGAAAGUUUCGGCGGUUGGGGAUGGACUCGCGGCUUAUCAGCUUGUUGGUGGGGUAGUGGCUUACCAAGGCUUUGACGGGUAGCCGGCCUGAGAGGGUGACCGGCCACAUUGGGACUGAGAUACGGCCCAGACUCCUACGGGAGGCAGCAGUGGGGAAUAUUGCACAAUGGGCGGAAGCCUGAUGCAGCAACGCCGCGUGCGGGAUGACGGCCUUCGGGUUGUAAACCGCUUUCGCCUGUGACGAAGCGUGAGUGACGGUAAUGGGUAAAGAAGCACCGGCUAACUACGUG